UUCUAGGCUGUAGUUCAGUGGUAGAGCUCCUGCUUAGCAUGCAGGUGGUCCCUGGCAUUUACAAGUAGGGCUGGGAAA
Molecule: non-coding RNA, 78 nt
Organism: Podarcis lilfordi (Lilford's wall lizard)
Lineage: Eukaryota; Metazoa; Chordata; Lepidosauria; Squamata; Lacertidae
Source: the annotation of a GenBank genome assembly